RNAcentral lists this unclassified non-coding RNA (429 nucleotides) under uncultured Basidiomycota. RNAcentral describes it as "sequence contains ITS2". The stretch from base 1 to 155 matches the Rfam family "5.8S ribosomal RNA". Lineage: Eukaryota; Fungi; Basidiomycota. The record is from RNAcentral.
AACUUUUAGCAAUGGAUCUCUUGGCUUCUGUAACGAUGAAGAACGCAGUGAAAUGCGAUAACUAAUGUGAAUUGCAUUAUCUCGUGAAUCAUCGAGUCUUUGAACGCAUCUUGCACUUUUCAGGUCUCCUGAAAAGUAUACUUGUUUGAGUAUCAUAAACACACUCUCCAAGCUGUCUUGGGAAUUGAGACUUCAAGUUAGCCUGCUAGCUUGUGUCUUUUAAUUGAUAUGCUAAGCAAUUCUGUGAUCUAGCAUCACAGAGGCCUACUCAAUCAAAUGUGAGAUAAACAUCGCACAAAGUAGUUGACAGGUUAAGCUUUAAGCUACGCCUAGUGGCGAGACGCAAGUCUCAACACAACCCCUUUGAUCUGUGAUCUCAAAUCAAGUAAGAUUACCCGCUGAACUUAAGCAUAUCAAUAAGCGGAGGCU